Molecule: ribosomal RNA, 261 nt
Filed under: uncultured archaeon
Lineage: Archaea
Description: partial 16S ribosomal RNA
Rfam family: Archaeal small subunit ribosomal RNA
Source: RNAcentral
UAGCCGUAAACGAUACUCGCUGGGUGUCGGCCACGGUGCGACCGUUGUCGGUGCCGUAGGGAAGCCGUGAAGCGAGCCACCUGGGAAGUACGGCCGCAAGGCUGAAACUUAAAGGAAUUGGCGGGGGAGCACAACAACGGGUGGAGCUUGCGGUUUAAUUGGAUUCAACGCCGGAAAUCUUACCGGGACCGACAGCAACAUGAAGGCCAAGCUGAAGACUUUGCCGGAUUAGCUGAGAGGUGGUGCAUGGCGUAGUCGUGU